This 1947-nucleotide long non-coding RNA is filed under the name Homo sapiens (human). Its description in RNAcentral is "MIR124-2 host gene". Lineage: Eukaryota; Metazoa; Chordata; Mammalia; Primates; Hominidae. The record is from RNAcentral.
GAGAACGCAGAGGGAGGGAGGCAGGGAGGGAGACCAAACCCCCGCUUUACUGCGUUGAAAGCUUCUGAAUUUCAAGCAGAAAGUAGAAGGAGCUCCAAAGGCAGUGAGCGUCUUUCCUUGGGCUGCGUGUGCCGAGCGUAGACAAUGAAAAUCUUCAUCCCCCUCCCCCAUUCUACUAGGCUACAAGAUUCUUGUUUUCGUUCCUUCUCACCGGUGGAAGAUGUGUAAAAUCAAAGAUGUAGAGGUGUGUAGUGAUUUUUUUAAAAGCCAACUAACCACCGCACGGACUGCGACGCGGAUUACCCGAGCGCACGCCGGCUGGGCGCAUUCUGGGGUCUCUGCGCAAGACCAGCUCUCAGCUCUCUCUCCUUUCCUCGGACUCUGGAGCGGGAGCGGGCCUUUCCCUCGGGUCGACCACGCCGUAGGGGACGCCGUGAAAAGAGCCGUCGCGCCCGCUGCCUCCUGCCCGCUGCGCAGAGGGCUCCGCCCGUAGAGGUCUGAAAUUAAAGCUUCUCGGAAUAAUUUAGGAACAGCUUGACCCGUUGAGAUACUCAAGGACAACCCUCCAGGGAAAUAGUAUGUUUCCUUCCUGGGAACAAGAUGCUAGCGCGGUGCACCGGGAGGUAUCUGGUGUCAACAAUGCCAGAGCGCCCUCUGCUGCCUCAAAGAGGCAGGACACCAGUUACAAAAGCCAGAUGGCACAGUGGCAAUAAGCGGAGGAAACAUUAAGCUCUUAGAAACGUUUAAUCUGUGAAAUUUAAAAGCUCUCAUCAUAUUCUACUUUUGAAAGGGCCACCUGAUUUUGAUUUUGAGCACUCCUUGGAUGUUAUCUUCUAUUCUGGAGGAUAAUGAAAAGUCCGUGUUUUGAAGUUUUCAGAUUAUUUCUGUAGUUAUAUUUCUCCACUCUUUCUCGAAUUUUAUAUGGAAAUACGAAAUUGCAAAUCUAAGUGAAAAACCUUUGUGUAAAACAGGUGAGUGGAGAAGACGUCCUGGUUUCUCCAAAUAACUAAGAUCUAAUAAAGAAACAAAUCUUAAUUAAAAUAAAGAUACCGAGCACAUGUUGUUGUGUUAGUUUAAAACGAUAAUAAAAAGAAAGAAAUUAAGUCUCGAUGUAAAUCAUUGUUUUGUUGUUUUGUUUCAGUGAUUAACCCAAAUUUUGACCAGACUUGAAGUUUUGAAAUAAGAAAGUGAAUUAUUUUAAAGAAGAAGAAAAAUUUGCUUCUUAUUAAUAUGUACAAUAUUUUUGCCCUUAAAACCUUUGCAAUACAUUUAUACACACACACUCAGCUUGCAAAGCCUUCUUUAGAAAAUAACCCACUCUGAGUAGAAGUAAUGAGAUAUGGUAGCAGCAUGGGCAAAGCCAUAAGAAACGUUAUUUGCAUUAAAAAUGAGUUUUUCAGUAUGGAAAAUCAAUUACCAAAUGAAAUAGAGAUUUUUUUUAAAGGUUCAAACCUUUUCAAAUUUUUAUGUUAUAGGGUUUAUAUUGAUUAAAAUAAAUGUACGUUUGUAGUUAUUCAACAUUAUGAAUUUCAAGAUGGCCACCUAUUUUGAAACGCACACCUUUGCCAUGAAGUCUGUUGUUGCAUAUAUUAGUGCUGAUGUAAUAAAAUGCUUCUAUUAACUAUGUGGUUGUUAAUAAAUCUUGUAAAAAUAAAGUUCUGUUUAUUUUAUGGUGUCAGAACAAAAUAGCUGUUUAAAAUCACUUAUUUUAGUCUUAGCUUUUAAAUCAAAAUGCCUAUAAGAAUAUUAAGUUCUAAGAUUGUUGAGAAUACUAAGAUAAAAUUAAAAAUUGUAUGAUUUUACAAUUUGCUAUAAUUUAAAAAUCUUGUAUUGAUUAAAUGUUAAAUCAGGUUAAAUAUUUGACCAAUUGUGUCAAGUUCCGUAUAAAUAUGGGUACAUUUGUCUUCUGAAAGCUAUUUCUCCAAAGAAUGCACUUACGAAUGUAUG